This 463-nucleotide ribosomal RNA is filed under the name uncultured bacterium. RNAcentral's name for it is "bacterial SSU rRNA". It matches the Rfam family "Bacterial small subunit ribosomal RNA", at positions 33 to 507 of the family's 1533-position model. The record is from RNAcentral.
GUUACGCUGGCGGCGUGCCUAACACAUGCAAGUCGAACGGUUCUAAGCGCGAGCUUAGGAUAGUGGCGAACGGGUGAGUAAAAGGUAGGAAUCUACCCCUUGGACGGAGAUAGCUACUGGAAACGGUAGGUAAACUUCGAUAAGCCCGAGAGGGGAAAGUGGGUGAGACAGCCGAGGGAUGAGCCUACUCUCCAUCAGGUAGUUGGUGAGAUAAAAGCUUACCAAGCCGAUGACGGAUAACCGGUGUGAGAGCAUGAACGGUCACAAGGGCACUGAGAGACGGGCCCUACUCCUACGGGAGGCAGCAGUGGGGAAUCUUGGACAAUGGGCGAAAGCCUGAUCCAGCGACGCCGCGUGGAGGAAGAAGUCCUUCGGGAUGUAAACUUCUGAACUAGCCGAAUAAAAGGCCUGUGGACACACAGGAGAAGAAAGUAGGCUAGGAAAAGUCCCGGCUAACUACGUG